CCUACGGGAGGCAGCAGUGGGGAAUAUUGCACAAUGGGGGGAACCCUGAUGCAGCAACGCCGCGUGGGUGAAGAAGUACUCCGGUAUGUAAAGCCCUGUCAGCAGGGAAGAAAAUGACGGUACCUGACCAAGAAGCCCCGGCUAACUACGUGCCAGCAGCCGCGGUAAUACGUAGGGGGCAAGCGUUAUCCGGAUUUACUGGGUGUAAAGGGAGCGUAGACGGCAAGGCAAGUCUGGAGUGAAAGCCCGGGGCCCAACCACGGGACUGCUUUGGAAACUGUGUUGCUGGAGUGCAGGAGGGGUAAGCGGAAUUCCUAGUGUAGCGGUGAAAUGCGUAGAUAUUAGGAGGAACACCGGUGGCGAAGGCGGCUUACUGGACUGUAACUGACGUUGAGGCUCGAAGGCGUGGGGAGCAAACAGGAUUAGAUACCCGAGUAGUC
This 440-nucleotide ribosomal RNA is filed under the name uncultured bacterium. Its description in RNAcentral is "partial 16S ribosomal RNA". It matches the Rfam family "Bacterial small subunit ribosomal RNA", at positions 338 to 795 of the family's 1533-position model. The record is from RNAcentral.